GACGAACGCUGGCGGCGUGCUUAACACAUGCAAGUCGAACGGAAAGGCCCUGCUUGCAGGGUAUUCGAGUGGCGAACGGGUGAGUAACACGUGGGUGAUCUGCCCUGCACUUCGGGAUAAGCCUGGGAAACUGGGUCUAAUACCGGAUAGGAGCCAUUUUUAGUGUGAUGGUUGGAAAGUUUUUUCGGUGUAGGAUGAGCUCGCGGCCUAUCAGCUUGUUGGUGGGGUAAUGGCCUACCAAGGCGGCGACGGGUAGCCGGCCUGAGGGGGUGGACGGCCACAUUGGGACUGAGAUACGGCCCAGACUCCUACGGGAGGCAGCAGUGGGGAAUAUUGCACAAUGGGCGCAAGCCUGAUGCAGCGACGCCGCGUGGGGGAUGACGGCCUUCGGGUUGUAAACUCCUUUCGCUAGGGACGAAGCUUUUUGUGACGGUACCUAGAUAAGAAGCACCGGCUAACUACGUG
This 465-nucleotide ribosomal RNA is filed under the name uncultured bacterium. RNAcentral's name for it is "partial 16S ribosomal RNA". It matches the Rfam family "Bacterial small subunit ribosomal RNA", at positions 28 to 507 of the family's 1533-position model. The record is from RNAcentral.